GGAGACGUGCCUGAAUCUAAGGGCCACUUUGAUAGAGUGAACCAUGGGGGUUAAAAUCCCCCCGCCUCCU
This 70-nucleotide transfer RNA is filed under the name Neoepinnula minetomai. Its description in RNAcentral is "tRNA-Ile". It matches the Rfam family "tRNA". From Rfam's summary of the family: Transfer RNA (tRNA) molecules are approximately 80 nucleotides in length. Their secondary structure includes four short double-helical elements and three loops (D, anti-codon, and T loops). The record is from RNAcentral. Lineage: Eukaryota; Metazoa; Chordata; Actinopteri; Scombriformes; Gempylidae.